UCUCUGGUGGUCCAGUGGCUAAGACUCAAUACUACCAAUUUAGGUGGCCCAGGUUUGAUCCCUGGUCAGGGAA
RNAcentral lists this transfer RNA (73 nucleotides) under Bos taurus (domestic cattle). It matches the Rfam family "tRNA". Rfam says of the family: Transfer RNA (tRNA) molecules are approximately 80 nucleotides in length. Their secondary structure includes four short double-helical elements and three loops (D, anti-codon, and T loops). The record is from Rfam by way of RNAcentral. Lineage: Eukaryota; Metazoa; Chordata; Mammalia; Artiodactyla; Bovidae. RNAcentral also lists the same sequence under 5 other names.